CCUACGGGAGGCAGCAGUGGGGAAUUUUGGACAAUGGGCGCAAGCCUGAUCCAGCAAUGCCGCGUGAGUGAAGAAGGCCUUCGGGUUGUAAAGCUCUUUUGUCAGGGAAGAAAAGGUUACGAAUAAUACUCGUGGCUCAUGACGGUACCUGAAGAAUAAGCACCGGCUAACUACGUGCCAGCAGCCGCGGUAAUACGUAGGGUGCAAGCGUUAAUCGGAAUUACUGGGCGUAAAGCGUGCGCAGGCGGUUUUGUAAGUCUGUUGUGAAAUCCCCGGGCUCAACCUGGGAAUGGCAAUGGAGACUGCAAGGCUAGAGUUUGGCAGAGGGGGGUAGAAUUCCACGUGUAGCAGUGAAAUGCGUGGAUAUGUGGAGGAACACCGAUGGCGAAGGCAGCCCCCUGGGUCAAAACUGACGCUCAUGCACGAAAGCGUGGGGAGCAAACAGGAUUAGAUACCCUGGUAGUCCACGCCCUAAACGAUGUCUACUAGUUGUCGGGUCUUAAUUGACUUGGUAACGCAGCUAACGCGUGAAGUAGACCGCCUGGGGAGUACGGUCGCAAGAUUAAAACUCAAAGGAAUUGACGG
Molecule: ribosomal RNA, 585 nt
Filed under: uncultured bacterium
Lineage: Bacteria
Description: bacterial SSU rRNA
Rfam family: Bacterial small subunit ribosomal RNA
Source: RNAcentral